This is a non-coding RNA of Borealophlyctis nickersoniae, 102 nucleotides long. The record is from the annotation of a GenBank genome assembly. Lineage: Eukaryota; Fungi; Chytridiomycota; Chytridiomycetes; Rhizophlyctidales; Borealophlyctidaceae.
UCUCAGUUAGUAUAGUGGUCAGUAUCUCCGCCUGUCAAUCUCUCCGGUUUGGCCGGAUUGAACGGUGCGCGGAAGACCCGGGUUCGAUUCCCGGACUGAGAG